UAGGAGCAGCUGGACAUGGAGUAGCAGUACCUGUACCUGGAAUGUGCUGAAGAGGAUAAGAGGAGAGAUCAACACAAAGUUGCAGACCAGGAGGUGAAGCCGGGGAGGUGCUGGGUUGUGCCGCUACUGAAUCCUGCAAUUCAGAACCUGUUCCUGCACAAUAAUCAUUGGAAAGACAAGCACGUGGUGACAGUAUGGCUGUGUGGGGUGG
This 211-nucleotide long non-coding RNA is filed under the name Populus tremula. RNAcentral's name for it is "long non-coding RNA (PTRE_LNC003425)". The record is from RNAcentral. Lineage: Eukaryota; Viridiplantae; Streptophyta; Magnoliopsida; Malpighiales; Salicaceae.